Long non-coding RNA from Gossypium arboreum, 534 nucleotides. RefSeq lists it as uncharacterized. The record is from RefSeq and is a predicted model, not a curated record. The transcript has 2 exons. Lineage: Eukaryota; Viridiplantae; Streptophyta; Magnoliopsida; Malvales; Malvaceae.
CUUUCACCAUUCUCUUUCAAACAUUCACUUUUCAUCUUUCUAUCAAAUUGAGGGAAAGAAAAGCUCAAAACAUUGAAGUCGUCUCUAAAAUCUGAUCACGAACAAUCAACGAUCUGUUUCUCCAUUGGUUCAGCGGAAUCUAUUUUUCUUUUGCUUGUUUCUCGAAGUCCAACCUUGUGAUUUUUUUAUCCUAGUUUAAUUUUUUAUGGGUUUCCAGUGAAUUAUUGUGUUUUGAAUUUUUUUUGGGGGAUAUGUUGCAUUUAAUUUGAUUUGGGUUUGCUUUUAUUUUGUAGGUAAGCAUGAUUGUAUGCUUUGAAGAUAUAAUUUUACUUUGUAAUUUCCGUAAUUUCUGUAAGCUAAUUAUCAGGACGUGUUGCAUUCUUUUCGUUUGUAAUCUCUGCAAGGAUUUUGGUUUAUUCUUUUUAGCUUUGCAUUGAGUGCUUUGAAUGUAAUUGCAGGAUGAUAUAUUGACAUGGAAAUAUGUCAUACUAAUAUUGUCACUUUUUGUAUGUGUAAAUGAGUUUUCUACUGUAA